This 315-nucleotide small RNA is filed under the name Arabidopsis thaliana (thale cress). Its description in RNAcentral is "ATSL208000". The record is from RNAcentral. Lineage: Eukaryota; Viridiplantae; Streptophyta; Magnoliopsida; Brassicales; Brassicaceae.
AAAGGAUUAAACAUGAUUUACAAUCGUUUUAAAAGCAUAAGCAAGGGUCAUAGAAUAAUUUACAAGGGAUUUUAAAAAGGGUAUGCAUGGUUUACAAUCGUUUUUUAGGCAUAAGUAAGUGGCAUAAAAUAAUUUACAAGGGAUUUUAAAAGCUUAUUAAAGGGUAAAACAUGAUUUACAAUCGUUUUUAAAUCAUAAGUAAGUGUCAUAAAAUGAUUUACAAGGGAUUUUAAAUGUGUUUUCAUGGUUUACAAUGGUUUUUAAAACAUAAAUUAGUGGCAUUGAAUGAUUUACAAGAGAUUUUAAAAGCUUUUU